CUCGUUGGUGCAUGAUUUGAGUCACGCCUAUGAUUCAUGUUGUGACAAAUUAUCAUCAAGACCCUCUAAUUUCCACCUUGCACUCAGGAAGUGGUAUUCUUUAUUACUGCCGGAGAGGGAGUUUCGAUGCUUUGUACGUGAUCAUCACCUAGUCGGAAUCUCACAACGGGAAGUCACUACAUGCUAUCCUUUGAUCCUUGCAGAGAGAAGAAGUAUAAAAAAUCUGAUUAGGGAAUUCUUCGACAAGAAGGUAAUGUUGCAGUUCGAAUCAGAGAAUUACACAUUUGAUGUCUAUGUCACCAACGACGGCCGUGUUAAGAUUUUGGAUUUUAACCCUUGGGGUGCAUUUACACUGCCACUGCUAUUUACGUGGGAGGAACUCGAGCAAGUUACAGGGGAAGGGCUAGAUGAUGAUGAUGGUGUGGAGUUGAGAGUUGUGGAGACUCGGUGUGGAAUUCGGCCCGGGUUGAAAACAGCAGUUCCACAGGAGUUCCUCGACGCUGGCCCAGGGAGUGGAUGGGAGCAGGUAUUGAAGAACGCAUUUGAGGAGCAGCAGCAGAACGCACAAGUAUCGGACGAUGUUUGAGAGAUGUUAAAGUCUAUAUAUAUAAAAGAGUCUUCAUCCCUUGUUUUUGCAUAAGACUUUGAUAUUGAAAAUUUGAACUUUUAACUUCUUGAGUUUCAAACUUGUUAAGGGUCUUUGAUAGUGCAUGGUGAUUCGUACUUGAGAGAGCGAUAGUUGUAGCAACAAGACAUUUCCUCUCGUUUGUGGCCGCUAUCUAACCUUGUUUCUAUUCAUUCUUGAAGAUUUUUACUCUUUUAAUUAUGAAGUGAUUAAAAAUUAUAUUUUGUUGUUAUGUUAUUAAUUUCUCUCUACACUAGUUUCACUUCAAAUCACGAGCUUAAGAAGUCUAUAAAAGAGAUAAGGUUGGCCACGGGUAAGUAUAAAGAUGAAUUUGGUAUAUUUAUCAUCUCUUUGUUUAGUAGUUGGAUUUUGUUCGUACCCAUUUAUUUGUAUGAAUGGGCAGAAUAUAGAAACCAUUCUCAACCAUCUAUAAAUUUUCAAAUCUACCCAUUUGGUUGGGCAAUACCCGUUUUAUCUUUUAUUAUUGAACAAAACUACAAAUGAAUGGUAUUAUACAACUUUAGUCUUGCUCAAUUUAUAAUUCUAAAAACAUUAAGAUUUAUCCACAAACUAAGAUUUGUCCUAACAACUAAUAUUCAGUGAAUGACACUGAAAUAACAAUUAUUAGUUUACAAACACAAAAAUGUAAGAUAACACUGAAGGCUUCCAAGCUUUGAGUGAAUAAAAACCUUAUUUGGUCACUUAGUUUUUAUAAUUCUCAAACAUUAAAGAUUAUUAAUAAAAUAAUUGGAGGCAAGACAGAGGAGAGGGAGUUUCGAUGCUUUGUACGUGAUCAUCACCUAGUCGGAAUCUCACAACGGGAAGUCACUACAUGCUAUCCUUUGAUCCUUGCAGAGAGAAGAAGUAUAAAAAAUCUGAUUAGGGAAUUCUUCGACAAGAAGGUAAUGUUGCAGUUCGAAUCAGAGAAUUACACAUUUGAUGUCUAUGUCACCAACGACGGCCGUGUUAAGAUUUUGGAUUUUAACCCUUGGGGUGCAUUUACACUGCCACUGCUAUUUACGUGGGAGGAACUCGAGCAAGUUACAGGGGAAGGGCUAGAUGAUGAUGAUGGUGUGGAGUUGAGAGUUGUGGAGACUCGGUGUGGAAUUCGGCCCGGGUUGAAAACAGCAGUUCCACAGGAGUUCCUGGAUGUUGGCCCAGGGAGUGGAUGGGAGCAGGUCUUGAAGAACGCAUUUGAGGAGCAGCAGCAGAACGCACAAGUAUCGGACGAUGUUUGAGAGAUGUUAAAGUCUAUAUAUAUAAAAGAGUCUUCAUCCCUUGUUUUUGCAUAAGACUUUGAUAUUGAAAAUUUGAACUUUUAACUUCUUGAGUUUCAAACUUGUUAAGGGUCUUUGAUAGUGCAUGGUGAUUCGUACUUGAGAGAGCGAUAGUUGUAGCAACAAGACAUUUCCUCUCGUUUGUGGCCGCUAUCUAACCUUGUUUCUAUUCAUUCUUGAAGAUUUUUACUCUUUUAAUUAUGAAGUGAUUAAAAAUUAUAUUUUGUUGUUAUGUUA
This 2139-nucleotide long non-coding RNA is filed under the name Linum usitatissimum (flax). RNAcentral describes it as "long non-coding RNA (LUSI_LNC003014)". The record is from RNAcentral. Lineage: Eukaryota; Viridiplantae; Streptophyta; Magnoliopsida; Malpighiales; Linaceae.